GAUAAACGCUGGCGGCAUGCCUAAUACAUGCAAGUCGAACGGACGCAGAAAUGCGUUAGUGGCGAACGGGUGAGUAACACGUAAGUAACCUACCCCAAGGACGAGGAUAACUACUGGAAACGGUGGCUAAAACUGGAUAGGAUAUUUUAUCAUAAGAUGGAAUAUUUAAAAGCGCUGUAAGGCGCUACUUGAAGCUGGGCUUGCGGCGCAUUAGAUAGUUGGUGAGGUAACGGCCCACCAAGUCAACGAUGCGUAGCAGCGCUGAGAGGCGGAACUGCCACACUGGGACUGAGACACGGCCCAGACUCCUACGGGAGGCUGG
This 322-nucleotide ribosomal RNA is filed under the name uncultured bacterium. Its description in RNAcentral is "bacterial SSU rRNA". It matches the Rfam family "Bacterial small subunit ribosomal RNA", at positions 28 to 352 of the family's 1533-position model. The record is from RNAcentral.